UACACUCUACCAUUUUCAAAUAAAGGGGGGGGCAGCUCACGUUUUUGAGAAGACCCAGCAGAAGGUGGAGCUCUCGUUUUUCAUAGAAGGGUGGUGGUUCUUCAUUGGUUUUUUCCCCUCUCUCUUUGGAAGGCAAUUGGCAUAGCAUGGGGCUGUUCCUGAGCCUGAAAAACUGCCAUAAGAGGUGAAGAAGAAGCUGCCGGCAGAAGAAGAAGAAGAAGCUUGACAGAUUCCGGCUGAAGAGGGGUUGUAUUCUUCCACUUUUAUUUUCUUGUUUUUGCCUUGAAUCUUGUUUGUUGAUCGUUGUUUUGGUAGUUUGAACUCCUAGGAUCCCCAACAAACUGGUAUCAGAGCUAGGAGGAGUGAUAUUAGUCCAAAAAUCGAUAAAAAACCAGCAAGAAAUCACCAUUUUCACAUUCUAACCGAAUCUGAAAAACUUGAUUUCCGGCCAACCGAUUGACUUUCCGGCGAAAUGGACCAUGGAACCAUGACCAGCAGGAGGAGGCGCACCCUGUGGUGGGGCGCGUGACCGGCGGCGGGCGGCUCCGGCGGCGGCGGAGGCAAUACAAUGAAAAACCACACAAAUUUCAUGCAAGGCAUUGGGUAUUUGUAGUUAAAGGUAAUUAGGUAAUUUGAAACACGUAAAACUCUUCAAAAACACAAAGUAGGGUUUUACACGUAAACCUGUCACUCACGCGAGAGCUUAGUUAUAGCUGGACUACGGUCUGUUGCUUGAACAAGACAUGGAUGAUAGAGCGAGCAACGAGGUUCCUAUUUUUUGUCGCUCGAGCAACGCCCAGGUGAUAGGCUAGCGAAAUUACGACGUCUCUUCUUUCCUUACUCCAAACUCAAAUCCUAAUCUACCUAACUCAACUAUACAAAAUUACGACUAACUCCUUGACUUUUUACAACAUAUUUAAUUUAGUUCUUUUGUUCACAUAAUUGCCAAUUACAUAAAGCAUAACAAACUCCUCUUUUGGCAUUCUGUGAUAAAAUCAUAUAAUUAAAGUUAAGGUAGUAAAAACACAAUAAUCUAAUCUUCCCAAACUCUGUUUCUUGCAUUCCUUGCUAAAUCUAUUUCCAGAAAACAACAACUCAAAUACCAACUGUAGAAGCACUUGAUACAAAAAAUAUAGCAAUUUAGGCACAUGAUCAUACAUAAGAAUGCUAAAUGAGAAGUAAUACUAAUGUCAAUCAAACACAUCAGCCAAAACAUUAGUAUUACAAAACAUCAAAAGCUCAAACAGCUAUACAUUAUGAUAUGGAAUGCAAUGAAAAUAAUCAAUAUCUCCUUAUUGGAAACUCUAAUCAAUCUCCCCCAACAUGCAAUUCUCUUUCAAGGUAUAAAGAUAUAAUGUUAUAGAUGAUAUUGAUAUAGUCUUUAUCCCCUAUCGAAAUAAUUACUCUCCCAUUUUUUUGUCACAAAUGACGAAAUGAUCAAUAUCAAAAUUUUUAACAUCAAUACAAUAACUCAAAAUAUGCAGUUGAUAGCAUGAACAAGAAUAAUCAAUGAUCAGUAAACCUUUCCACAUACUCAGUCCAAGUUAACAUGGAGUAAAUUAUAUAAGUGACCCAUGUUUGUAAAGUGUCACUAAUCCUUGCUAAGCAAAACUCCAAACCUUAAUUUUGUGAGAAUGGACAUGCUAAGCAUCACUGUUAAUAAGUUUAUUCCUCUAUUUAUGAUAGUUAAACCAUUUAAAGCACAUUAGAACAUUUAAAUCAAAGCUCAUUUUGUGUGGAUAUUUUCUUUUCUUCCCCUAACUUUGAUCAUAUAUAAAUUUUAUACAUAUCCUUCAAUAUUUUUUAAGCUCAUCAUAUUUUACAUCUUAAGUGUAGGUCUUUUUCCAUUAACUAACUAAGAUGACCUUGUAGCGAACUUUAGGCCAAUUAAUCCAAGUCAGUUGACUAUAGGCACCAGGUUAUGAGAAAGCCCGCAGGCUUAAUUGCUUGAGUCAAAUAGGUUCCGAAGAAGAAUAUAAGAUAUUGAGAUUUUUUUUUCAAUUCAUAAGUUCCAUUGUCGAUGUAAUGUUUUGAGUGAAAGAAAAAGAAAAAAACAACGAAAAAAAGAAAGGAAAAAGGAAGUGAUGGAAGAAAUAGUUUUUAAUGUUACAAACUAUCUAUAUUCACAUUUUCUCCUAGCAUUAAAUGAGAUAGAUGCAAAUCAAAGAAAUUGUGAGUGGAGUGAUUGGUUAUGCAUGUAUUACACGUAUUUGAGUUUGAGUUGUUACAUUUUUUUUUUUGCUCCAUUAGUUUCGAUGGCUUUUGAGCUACAUUCUCAAAUACUUCCCACCUUAUGCCAAAGCCACCUUACAACCCUUGAAAAGUCCUUGUGAUUCGUGUUAUGCAGGUGAUCUAAAUGGUGGCAAGUGAGAAGAUAUGAAAGCAUAUGGUAGAUCAUUUCCAUUGAAAUGAAUUUGAGCAAAACACAUACCCUUUAAACACAUGAGAGUCGAGUACUUAUUUCCAUAAGGUUCUGCAUGUUUAGUUUACUCCAUUUUCGAAAGAAAAUGCUUACUAAGUAAUUAUGUGUUGUCUGAUCAUGUUUAUUCAUGAUAUAUUAUGUAUUUUAAAGAGUUUGGUUGUUUUAUGUCGAUAGCAUUGCAACCUUGAUGUUUUUGGUGAAGUAAAUUUGAAUUUUGCUUGAGGAUGAACGAAAGUUAAGUAGGAGAAUUUGAUGAGAAUGUAAAAUGUUAUAUUAUUCCUCUCUUAAUAUGUAUGCUUUUAUAAUUAUUUGGUGCCUAAAUGUACUCAUUAUUCUUGUAUUUUGAUUUAGGAUGCAAAUUGAUGAAUGUAGCGAAAAUUAGGAUAGACAAGUGGAAAAUGACCAAAAUGGAAGAAAACUAAAGUUUAGGGACCAAAGUGCAAAUAGUUGAAAGAUGACCCGGAAGCAUAAACAAGGAUGUGAAAGAGUUAAUGACCAAUUUGUUGAAGACAUGAAGUGUUGGAAAAAGAAGAAAUGACAAAAAAAGGUCAAGAAAUGAGAAAACGUGUUUGAGGGCUAAAACAUAAAUGUUGUAAGUUGAGUAACAUGUAUCUUCAUAGAAUUGAAGGGGUGAUUUUAGUUGAACUAUGCGGUCUCAUCGAAAUAUACUAUGCGGUUGCAUAGUACAAUUUCAGUCAAAAAAUUUUGGUUUCCUUAUUUGAUUAAAACUUUUAUGGAAACAAUUCAAGAACCUUUUUUUAAACCCUAUGACCGUCCAAAAGAAGGACACACGCCUCCCAUCACCUUCUCCUCUCUUUGAGACUUUCAAUUUUCGUGUCUGGUUAAUUCUUGUACUUAGUCAAAGGAAACUGAAGCCUCGAGACAAAUUAAACUGUGAGAUCUAAAUUAUUUUCAUUGUUUAAUUCAUGUUUUGAGUAUUGAAUAUUCUUCUACAUGUAUUUUCAUAAUUGUUGUGUUUAAUUACUUGGAGGCCUACUAAUUUAUUAUAUGCUACAAUCUGUUGAUUGAUUAAUAUCAAAUCCGUAAUUGUUUGAUUCAUUUAACUAGUGAAGUAACUAGGAUUUAAUGGCUUGUUGCGUUAGAAAUUGUUAAAUCUUGGGACGAACGUAUGAGUAGAUCAAAUAUAACCACUUGUGCUUGUAUUAUUUAUAUUCAUCGAUCUCUCUAAUUCUUAGGGCUGUUAUUAGAUUAAACCUUAGCACAUUUCUUAGGUUGUCUAGUAAUUAAGGUUAAUUGGAUCGCUUGUUUUCUAAUUAACUACAAUUAAGGAUAGAUAGGAAAUUAAUUCCAAUGAUGAAUGCUAAAAAUAUGAAUUGAUAUUUAUAUAUGGAUCAAUGAUCAGUUGUGAACUUUUGACGGUGGAUGUUAACUUAGAUCAAGGUUUGUUCUUUUUAUUUAUUUCGAUCCGUCAAUUAGCAUUGCUUAUUAGUUAUUUUCUUUAGAUUGGUUGUGUUAUAAUAAAAAACCUUCUUCAUUGUUUACAUAGCAUAAAGUUAGAUUAGACACUUUUUGUGUGAACGAUCCUUACUCGCACUAUUACCUAGAUUUCUAGGAUUAUAUGUUUUAUUUUUGGUUGCCUACGACAACACACCACCAACCCUGGUAAGCACCAUUGGGCUAGAAUGAAAUGGUUUUGAGAUAUAUUGUUGAGACAUUAAAUUUGGGUCUAGUGUAUUAGAGAAGAACUGAAAUCUUUAACCCUUAAGGUUUAUGUAGAUGUUGACUUUGCUAGUUACAAAGGUAGUAGAAAAUCAACUACAGACUAUUUCUUUACUCUUGGAGACAAUUGCAUAACUUGAAAAUCUCAAUUGCAACCUUUGGUUACACUAUCCAACACUGAAGCUGAAUAUGUAGCUAUAACCGAAGCUCUAAAAAAAAUUGUAUUUGGUUAAAAGGAAUUUUAAAAGAAUUGAACUUCAUGCAUGAUACACCUGUUAUGUUUACUGAUAGUCAAAGUACUUUAUUGCUUUGUAAAAAUCCUGUUUACCAUGAAAGAACUAAACAUAUUGAGGUAAAGUAUCAUUUUAUACGUGAGAAACUGUCUCAAGGUGAAGUUAAUCUUGUUAAAAUUCACACUGAUAGGAAUCCCUCUGACAUGGGAGCAAAAAUUCUACCUGCAAGAAAAUUUAGAUUGUGCUUAUCUUUAUUACACAUUGACACUGGUUAAUUUUUCUUGCAGGUGGUGGGCGAUGAUGAUGAACAGUUCUUCCAUGUGCAAAUUCGCAACCAAGAGAGAGUGUUAGGAGAACCAAGGUGAAGAAUGUGAGGAUAUGGUUCACCUAACCCCACCACCUAAUGUUGUGACUUGAUGGGAGUGAGGUUGACACAAUAAGGUCUUCCCUUCUUUUGGCAGAGGCAUGGUCUUUCUUCCUACCCCUUCAUUAUGUACACUCUACCAUUUUCAAAUAAAGGGGGGGCAGCUCACGUUUUUGAGAAGACCCAGCAGAAGGUGGAGCUCUCGUUUUUCAUAGAAGGGUGGUGGUUCUUCAUUGGUUUUUUCCCCUCUCUCUUUGGAAGGCAAUUGGCAUAGCAUGGGGCUGUUCCUGAGCCUGAAAAACUGCCAUAAGAGGUGAAGAAGAAGCUGCCGGCAGAAGAAGAAGAAGCUGGACAGAUUCCGGCUGAAGAGGGGUUGUAUUCUUCCACUUUUAUUUUCUUGUUUUUGCCUUGAAUCUUGUUUGUUGAUCGUUGUUUUGGUAGUUUGAACUCCAAGGAUCCCCAACAAAAAUGUUCUGAAUUUUAUUGUUCAUCUGUUAAAUUUUUCCAUAGUUAAUCAAUUUAUAUUGUCUCCA
Molecule: long non-coding RNA, 5232 nt
Filed under: Olea europaea (common olive)
Lineage: Eukaryota; Viridiplantae; Streptophyta; Magnoliopsida; Lamiales; Oleaceae
Description: long non-coding RNA (OEUR_LNC006227)
Source: RNAcentral